Molecule: RNA transcript, 1727 nt
Organism: Tarenaya hassleriana
Lineage: Eukaryota; Viridiplantae; Streptophyta; Magnoliopsida; Brassicales; Cleomaceae
Exons: 16
Source: RefSeq, a predicted model, not a curated record
CUCGUCAACAUUUCUCGAAUGGGACCCUAAAUCAUAGAAUCACCCAGAAUAAAAGGGUGAGGGAGAAAAACGGAGAAAACUUUUGCGAUCGUCGGAGGAGCAGGAGAAGAAUGCGAUGAAGAUGGAUAUGGAGGAGGAGAAAGCGAUGACCAGAGAAGAAGCUGCUUCCUCCAGAAGAACACGAAGCCCUAAUGGGAGUAGCAACGGUGAAAAUGAAGGAAGAGAGAUCAACAUCCGAUCCUUCUCCUCCGUUCCUUCCUCUCCUCGCAACGCUUCUUCUAAGUACGAUUUCGUCAAGGUGAAAGUGUGGCUCGGAGACAACGCCGAUCACUACUAUGUUCUGUCCCGGUUCUUGAUGAGCAGGAUGCUAACAGUAACUAAGAUCCCAAAUCAUGUAGCCAUAAAGAUCGCUCUUGAACUCAAGAAGCUGCUGAUUGACAACAGCCUUCUGGAUGUCUCUCAAUCCGACUUGGAAGCCAAUUUGUUUAAGCUUAUGGAGCGGCGUGGGUAUGGAGAGGAAUAUAUCAAUCGUUACAAGAUGAUGACGAGAUUUCAUCAUCAGAGGGUACCUCUGGUUAUACUUGUUUGUGGGACCGCCUGUGUUGGGAAAUCCACCAUAGCCACCCAACUUGCUCAGAGGCUUAAUUUACCGAAUGUCUUGCAGACAGACAUGGUAUAUGAGUUGCUUCGCACGGCAACAGAUGCCCCGUUAACAUCUACCCCUGUAUGGACACGAGAAUUCAGCUCACCAGAGGAAUUGAUCACUGAAUUCUGUAGAGAAUGCAGGAUAGUUCGAAAAGGUCUUGCGGGUGAUUUGAAGAAAGCAAUGAAAGAUGGAAAACCGAUUAUAAUCGAGGGAAUACAUUUGGAUCCAAGCAUUUAUCUAAUGGACGACGAGAGUAAAACUCCAGCCAACAUCCCCGAGAAGGGCAAAGAGGCAAACACUACUGAAGAUCCUAAAGUGAACAAAAAUCCUGGACUGGGCACUUUAGGAAAUGGUGAAGAAACCCGCCACAUUCCUAGAGACCCCAACCUGCAGGGCACUUCUUCAAACCCGCUCACUGAAGUGGCAGCUUCUGUGAAUGCUAUCGACCUGUCAAGAAACGCUUCUCGAUGUGAAGUCGUAAAAGAUCCGGAAAAGGAAAAGAAAAUACGUGACGGGAAGGCGAAAUCUGUCCCGGACCCAAUUAUUGUCUCUAUUGUUCUGAAGAUGUCUGAAUUUGACCAUAAGGCUUUGCUCGAGGAGUGGAUUACAGCCCGUACCUCCAGUGAUAAAUCUUUGUCCAAGGAGAAAGAUCGGCUAAUAGCUAACCUAAAGACCAUUGAAGACUACCUCUGUUCCUUCAAUUCACAGGGCGUGGCAGUAGUGAACAUAUCGGCCACAACAUUCCCUCAGACCCUGGAUUGGCUGCACAACUAUCUCCUUCAGCGGAUUGAACAAGGCAUUACUUCAGCAUCAUCAUCCGAGAAUGAACAGCAGAAGACCGGUUAGGUCUUUAGACUGUGUCGACAGACACUGGCAAGAAACGAAAAACACUGUCAGUGUCCUUCGCAUUGGACAAAUACUACUGUGUGAUUUGCGUUCGUGAAUCACCGGUUUAGUUUCGGUUAAUGUUGAUGGUUUAUGAGUUAUGUGAUAUGUUAUGUUUUUGUGCAGCAGAAACAUUAAACCGGUACAUCAAAAAAACGAAAAAAAAAAUGCUGAAAUAACUGAUCCUACUUGGUUA